This 253-nucleotide ribosomal RNA is filed under the name uncultured bacterium. RNAcentral describes it as "partial 16S ribosomal RNA". It matches the Rfam family "Bacterial small subunit ribosomal RNA", at positions 524 to 776 of the family's 1533-position model. The record is from RNAcentral.
UACGUAGGGUGCGAGCGUUAAUCGGAAUUACUGGGCGUAAAGCGUGCGCAGGCGGCGCGUUAAGACAGGUGUGAAAGCCCCGAGCUUAACUUGGGAAUCGCGCUUGUGACUGGCGUGCUGGAGUGUGGCAGAGGGAGGUGGAAUUCCACGUGUAGCAGUGAAAUGCGUAGAGAUGUGGAGGAACACCGAUGGCGAAGGCAGCCUCCUGGGCCAGCACUGACGCUCAUGCACGAAAGCGUGGGGAGCAAACAGG